This 1533-nucleotide long non-coding RNA is filed under the name Solanum tuberosum (potato). RNAcentral's name for it is "long non-coding RNA (STUB_LNC008218)". The record is from RNAcentral. Lineage: Eukaryota; Viridiplantae; Streptophyta; Magnoliopsida; Solanales; Solanaceae.
CACCAUGGCCAUCAUAAACUCCAAAGAAAUGAGUUGUCAAAUGACUUAAAUACCUAGUCAUUCCAUCAGGCAAACGAUUGCCAACUAGCAUCUGUAUAGGAAUUCUCAAGAACCUAGGAACAUUUGCAAGCGCAUCUUUCAUUUCUGGUCUCCUUCCACACACAGAUGUAAAUCCCCAAAGGGGUAUAUAAUCCACUUCAAAAAUAUUGCGGCCAACUGCUGCAUUUAACCCUUUAUCUAAAGGUAGCUGAACAACAACUUCAGCUGAUUUCGAGCUGGAGCCAUCCGUAAUCUGCUCAUCAAGUUUUUCCCCAACUGCCAGAGGCUUGCUCUCUGUCUCCUGAGCACCUGACUCUACCAGAUCUCCAGCCUUAGCUAUAAGUUUGACAUUGCAAAUGUUUUUCUCAGCAUCUACCAAAUUAUGUCCGUCUACGUCAAAUGCUAGCUCGAAAUUUAUAAAAUCAUCAGCACAUAAACUACUGGAAUCACUCACCACAGACAGGGAACAUGAACUAUCAAGAAUUUGAUCACCAUCUAGUGAUAAGAUCUCAUCAUCCUCACUUUCCCUGACAACAUCAAUCCAAUUCCUUUCAAUUUCAGGUAUGAUACCAGUUUCUUCAGGUACAGUAACAGUGAGGUGUUUCUUCUGUGAAUCAACAGAAUUGCAAUCAUCAUAAACAGAAGAUUUUGGAUACAAAGUUGUAGCAUGGUCAGCCAUUGACUUUAGGCUAGUGACAUCCAUUUGACUUUGGUUGUGAGAGAUGAAAUUACCUAAUCUAAAUGGCAAAGCAACCGCCAAACACAUGUCGUCCAUCAAAAUCACUAUCUUGUAACAACAUUACAUAGCUUGUCAUUGUCAAACUAAUAAUAAUCUUCUCAUGAGCUUCACCACACCAUUUUUCAUGCCUAGAAAGAUCUAACACAUACCCUGAUUCACAAUUUUGUAGUCAGAUCUGGUAAGAAAAAAUACCUUUUUGGUUGGAAAAUUCACCUAAAAAUACAAAAAAAAGGUAAGAUUUUAGAUUUGUCUGUCUGCCAUCACUUUCUUCCCAAAAUCCAAUGAACUAUUGAUAACCCAGAUAAAGCUUGAUAAAUUGAAUCAAAGAAAGGGGAAAAAAAGGGGUCUUGGCAAAAAGUGUCAAGAAUCACAAGAAAGAAACCCUGAAAAAGAUGGUACCCUUUUAUCAAUAAAACUUGAGUACCUUGGAUCUGAGGCAACCCAACCAAACCCACCUAAGAAAUGCAGUCUUUUUCAAACCAUAUAUGGGGAUGGAAAUAGUAUAGAGGAGGAACCACUAGCUUAUUUUUCAAGAAUGGUACUGUUUUGUUCAGAGCUUACUUUCCUUCUCAUCCCCAGAAGAGUAAAAUAGUUCAAUACUUGGAAGAGAAGGGAGAAGCAUCAACAAUGGUAAAUAUCAAACAACAAAAAUGGGUUGCUUAUACAAUGUAAUGUAACAGUUCAAUGUGAUCAUUAAAACACUUUCUCAUCUUUUUCUUUCUUUUUUUUCUAUCUUUUAACUUGGGUCAUGUCGA